AAGCCUCAAGUUAUGUGUGACUACCCCCUA
This 30-nucleotide ribosomal RNA is filed under the name Anopheles hyrcanus. RNAcentral describes it as "partial 28S ribosomal RNA". The record is from RNAcentral. Lineage: Eukaryota; Metazoa; Arthropoda; Insecta; Diptera; Culicidae.